UCUUAUCCCAGAAAACAGGAACAGCAAACAACACCUAAACUAACUUCUAACAGGACUACACUUACCCAGGACAAAGAAAACUGGGAGUGGGAAAGAGGACUCAGCCAUUGCUCUUUUGUCCUAGAAAGAUAGUCUGAUUUUUGCAACACUUCAGCCUGCAGCUUCCACUCCACCCUUUGGAACGUUUUCCCCCCAGAAAUGUGGCUAGCCCCUUCUCUUCCAGCUUUCUGGAAAGAACUGAAGACCUGGUUUUGCCAGCUUGCGUGGGGCUUGAGGUCAUCAACUAUUGAUGGCCACAUUGAAUCUUGAUCUUUUGGGAGUUCUGGCUUCCCUCAUUCCUUGUUUUCCAUACCAACAGUCCAACAUCCUGGUGAAAAUCUUUGGAGAACUCUAAAAGUUCUUGCACAGGACACACUAUCUUGUGGCACAUCCUAAUGAAAGGGUCACCAAAUUGUGGGUGUUCAGAUUUUUUUU
Non-coding RNA from Python bivittatus (Burmese python), 474 nucleotides. Lineage: Eukaryota; Metazoa; Chordata; Lepidosauria; Squamata; Pythonidae. The record is from RefSeq and is a predicted model, not a curated record.